UUUAUUGGAGAGUUUGAUCCUGGCUCAGGACGAACGCUGGCGGCAUGCCUAAUACAUGCAAGUCGAGCGGACUUGAAGAGAAGCUUGCUUCUCUGAUGGUUAGCGGCGGACGGGUGAGUAACACGUAGGCAACCUGCCCUCAAGUUUGGGACAACUACCGGAAACGGUAGCUAAUACCGAAUAAUUGUUUUCUUCGCCUGAAGGGAACUGGAAAGACGGAGCAAUCUGUCACUUGAGGAUGGGCCUGCGGCGCAUUAGCUAGUUGGUGAGGUAACGGCUCACCAAGGCGACGAUGCGUAGCCGACCUGAGAGGGUGAUCGGCCACACUGGGA
This 332-nucleotide ribosomal RNA is filed under the name Paenibacillus sp. BGI2013. RNAcentral describes it as "bacterial SSU rRNA". It matches the Rfam family "Bacterial small subunit ribosomal RNA", at positions 1 to 318 of the family's 1533-position model. The record is from RNAcentral. Lineage: Bacteria; Bacillati; Bacillota; Bacilli; Caryophanales; Paenibacillaceae.